GGAAUACGGUGCAAAUCCGUAGCGGUCCCGCCGCUGUAAUCGGGGACACGGACCACUGGGGCGGAAAACGCCCAGCCACUGGCGGCCAACCGCCGGGAAGGCGUGGUUGCGUGGUCGAUCCGAGAGCCAGAAGAC
RNAcentral lists this non-coding RNA (135 nucleotides) under Magnetospirillum molischianum. Lineage: Bacteria; Pseudomonadati; Pseudomonadota; Alphaproteobacteria; Rhodospirillales; Rhodospirillaceae. The record is from RNAcentral.